This 468-nucleotide ribosomal RNA is filed under the name uncultured bacterium. RNAcentral describes it as "partial 16S ribosomal RNA". It matches the Rfam family "Bacterial small subunit ribosomal RNA", at positions 28 to 507 of the family's 1533-position model. The record is from RNAcentral.
GACGAACGCUGGCGGCGUGCUUAACACAUGCAAGUCGAACGGACAGGCCCUGCUUUUGUGGGGUGCUCGAGUGGCGAACGGGUGAGUAACACGUGAGUAACCUGCCCUUGACUUUGUGAUAACUUCAGGAAACUGGGGCUCAUACCGGAUAGGAGCUCCUGCUGCAUGGUGGGGGUUGGAAAGUUUCGGCGGUUGGGGAUGGACUCGCGGCUUAUCAGCUUGUUUGUCGGGUAGUGGCUGACCAAGGCUUUGACGGGUAGCCGGCCUGAGAGGGUGACCGGCCACAAUGGGACUGAGAUACGGACCAGACUGCUACGGGAGGCAGCAGUGGGGAAUAUUGCACAAUGGGCGGAAGCCUGAUGCAGCAACGCCGCGUGCGGGAUGACGGCCUUCGGGUUGUAAACCGCUUUCGCCUGUGACGAAGCGUGAGUGACGGUAAUGGGUAAAGAAGCACCGGCUAACUACGUG